RNAcentral lists this long non-coding RNA (1020 nucleotides) under Gouania willdenowi (blunt-snouted clingfish). RNAcentral describes it as "lncRNA (ENSGWIG00000023946.1)". Lineage: Eukaryota; Metazoa; Chordata; Actinopteri; Blenniiformes; Gobiesocidae. The record is from RNAcentral.
GUGGCAGUGGGCGGAGGAAACUUACACUGGUGCCACAAGGUUCACAAGGCUACACUGCAAAGAUGCUUAAAACCAACACUUCAAAUGGAAAGCACAUGCUGUACAUAAUACCCCUGCAGGAGAAGCUUGAUGUUACCCCACUUCCUCAUGAUGCUCAGGAAUUCAGCACAAUGCCCAAAUCAUGCUGCAUGAAAUGCGGCACUACAAUGCCCCUUCAGCUGCUAGUUGGACACAUUGAUGCAUGCGUUGAUGUAAGUUUUUCAUUUACCACCAGUUAAUGUCAAGAAAGAUUAUGCUUACAGUUUAAGAAAAAGCUGUCACUAUAAACCCUUGAAUAGUCAUUGAAGUAUGCAUUGUUAAAUAUUUUUUGUUGCCAGGAACCACUGUUGGGAGACAGUGAAGAUUUGCUUGAAAUAGAUGUUGCUACCGAGGAUGAUGUUAAGGGCACCUGUCCAAUUUGUGGUGUUGAGUUUCCUGUUUUUGUUUUACCCCAUCAUGCCAGUUCAUGCGGUGAAAGGUAAUGAAACAAGGCAAAAGUUUGAUAAAGGGUUUCACAUAUUUGCGCUUUCUUAAUUUCAUGUUUAUCUUCUGCUUCAAGGGCACCCCCUGAUCGGGCAGGUACAAGUGGCUUGUCUCCAUCUACCUCUUCGUGGGCACCUCCUGAUCGGGCAGGUCCAAGUGGCUUGUCUCCAUCUACCUCUACCUCUUCGUGGGCACCUCCUGAUCGGGCAGCUUGGAAAAAUGUCCUUUGUCCGAAAGGAGCAACAGCCCUCUACAGGAGACAACUGUUAAGGGAGAAGGAAACGGAGCCUCCAAUUCGAGCCAGCAUAGAAAUAAGAGGGGACCAAAUAUCCCAAAGUAGAGAGAUUCUCAUGUUUUACAAAACCCCUGAUGUUGACUGGGCAUGUCCCCUACAUUGUACUCUACAAGGUGACCCAGCUGUUGGAGUCGGAGUGAAUCGCCAUUAUCUUAGUUUGGCUAUGUCAAAACUCCAAAAUGGCUUCAAUGUGAACACUGGUA